Long non-coding RNA from Homo sapiens (human), 1733 nucleotides. RefSeq lists it as uncharacterized. The record is from RefSeq and is a predicted model, not a curated record. Lineage: Eukaryota; Metazoa; Chordata; Mammalia; Primates; Hominidae. The transcript has 6 exons.
CCUUGGCCUCCCAAAGCGCUGAGAUUACAGGUGUGAACCACUGCACCUGGUCUCAAAUCAGAAAAUCUUUGAAUUCAUCUAAUGGUCACCUAUCCUGUGGGCCCUCACUUUGAGAUAUUUUGCCUUUUUUGGCCAAACCAAUAUGUAGCCUCCAUGUAUUAUAUGACCUUGCCUGCAACCUCUGCCUUCCCACCUUUAAAAACCCUUACACAUAAGCCAUCAGGGAGAUUAGGCCUUAAGGAUUAGCUGCCUGAUACUCCUUGCUUGCUGCCUGCAAUAAAUUCCUCAACUUCUGUCUCAGCAAUGCCGAUAUCAGUGCUUGACUUUGAUAGGCUGGGUGGGUGGACCCAAAUUUGGUUUGGUGACCCUUUGAGCUUAGAUUCAAAAUUCUAGUUUUGUCACUCUGCAGUUUUGUGAUCUUGAGCAAGUUACUUAACCUCUCUGAGCCUUGUUUGUCAUGUGUAAUGAAAAGAGCUAUACUUACCUUGUGAGGUAGUCCUCAGGAUUCAAUGAGAUAAUAAGUACUCACUAAACAAAACUCGUUAUUACAAAAGAAUCACUUUGUCUCUGAAGUGGGCAAUUCAACCCAUUUCUAGGAGAUUUUAAACAUGAUUUUAGAUAUUUGGUGUGAUUUUGUGAAUGGGUUUAUCGUUAAUAGCUUUCAUGCUCCAGAAUUUUCUUGAAUAAUAGGUUUUUGCAAAGUGCAUUCCAUGGAAUACUCAUUUGGGUGACGUUAAUAGACAUCACUCAAAAGCUGGGUGAAUAUUACAAUGUUUACUUCAUCUGUAACAAGCUGAGUAGCUACAGUACAUAUCUAAGAGGGGGCUCUAAUUCUCAAUAUUUUCCAAAUUUAUUAGAUCACAGACUUUUCUUUUAGUGAAGUGCUUAAUGAAACUUAAGUUCUGUGAAAAGUACUUUGAGAAAUAUUGCUUUAAAAAGAAAAAGAUUGAGCCCUGUAUCAGGGGAAAUAUCUAAUAUUAUAUUAAACAAAAAAGUCCCACUGAAGAAAAUCAUCUUAUUGUUCAUAGACCUUAGUUUAGGUAUUGGGGCCAAAGGAUGGAUGACCAUUUCAAACGAUCCAGGCUAAGCCAGGAGGAGAGCUCAAAGUCUGAUCUGCUCUGCUGCCCCCUGCCCCAUACACGUGAUGGAGCAGAAAACGUGCUGUGUGAACCUGUGACUUCAGGGCCUGUUGACGUGGUCGUGCUUGCAUACUCUCUGGACUGGACCUCACUGUGGGAACAACAAGAUCAACAAGAGGAGCAAGAACAACAUCAAGAGUCAGGGCCCGGGGGUCCUGACGGGUACAGGACGGGUACAGACCCACACAGGAAUCCCAGAGUGUGUUCCACAGCAGGACACGCCUGCGCUGAAAGAGUGGGCAGAAAGGAGCUGACCUGGGAUUAUGAUCCAAACUCAGCUGGGCCUCCCCUCCCUGCCCCAGGAUUGUGGAGUGAGAACGUUGCAGCAGGAGAGAACAACGCAGCAAAGCACAGCAGGGGAACCGGAAAUGCUCACCUUUUGACAGGACCAAACCAAUGCACAACUCCUACGUACUGAUGGUGGUCUUACGUUUCCCUAAGUUUCUGCCGACUAAACUGUGCACACGUUCUCAGGACCUCCUGAAGCUGCGUCACAGGCGCUGAUCAAAGAACACAACCAAGAGUUUGGCCUUUUCUUCAGCACUGGGAAUUGUGAUCCAAAGCUUUUCCUGAUGAGGCACAAAGUUGGAGAAA